CCUACGGGAGGCAGCAGUAGGGAAUAUUGCUCAAUGGGGGAAACCCUGAAGCAGCAACGCCGCGUGGAGGAUGAAGGUUUUCGGAUUGUAAACUCCUUUUGGUAGAGAAGAUAAUGACGGUAUCUAACGAAUAAGCACCGGCUAACUCCGUGACAGCAGCCGCGGUAAUACGGAGGGUGCAAGCGUUACUCGGAAUCACUGGGCGUAAAGAGCGCGUAGGCGGGAUAGCAAGUCAGAUGUGAAAUCCUAUGGCUUAACCAUAGAACUGCAUUUGAAACUGUUAUACUAGAGUAUGGGAGAGGUAGGUGGAAUGCUUGGUGUAGCGGUGAAAUGCGUAGAGAUCAAGAGGAAUACUCAUUGCGAAGGCGACCUGCUAGAACAUAACUGACGCUGAUGCGCGAAAGCGUGGGGAGCAAACAGGAUUAGAUACCCGGGUAGUC
This 440-nucleotide ribosomal RNA is filed under the name uncultured bacterium. Its description in RNAcentral is "partial 16S ribosomal RNA". It matches the Rfam family "Bacterial small subunit ribosomal RNA", at positions 338 to 795 of the family's 1533-position model. The record is from RNAcentral.